This is a long non-coding RNA of Macaca mulatta (Rhesus monkey), 233 nucleotides long. RefSeq lists it as uncharacterized. NCBI's taxonomy places the organism in Eukaryota, Metazoa, Chordata, Mammalia, Primates, Cercopithecidae. The record is from RefSeq and is a predicted model, not a curated record.
AGUGAUCCUCCCACCUUAGCCCCCUGAGUAGCUGGACCAGAGGAUUUCAACUGGCAGAACAACACAAACGACUGAGCAUCAGAGACGACUGAUGGACACGGCUAACUUCAGAUGGUGUGGCUUCAGGGGAAGAACACCUUCUUCCCACACCAUCCCCUUUCCAAUUCCCAUCCUGCUGACAGCCACUUCCAUCACCCAGUAAAAUCCUCCACAUAUGCUACCCUUCAAUCUGA